This is a long non-coding RNA of Diprion similis, 1012 nucleotides long. RefSeq lists it as uncharacterized. The record is from RefSeq and is a predicted model, not a curated record. The transcript has 2 exons. NCBI's taxonomy places the organism in Eukaryota, Metazoa, Arthropoda, Insecta, Hymenoptera, Diprionidae.
UAAAAAACGGGUAGAUGUAUAACCUAUUCUUCUAUUUCUGAUAGUUGAAAAGAAAUCUUUUUUCAUUGACCUGUGAAUACGAUGAAAUAGAAAAUUUCCUCGAAAUAACGGGCAAGAGAGUAAAAAAAAAAAGGAAAAAAGAAAACAGAAAAGAAAUGAGCAAACUUUACAAAAGUAGUUAUCAUUUAAUUCAUCAACGUUUUAAUCACGUACAUCACAACGAUGAGGAAUGAUCGGAAAAUUAAAAAUCGUUGUUACUCUGACCAAGGUUGCCUUACAUGAUAUUUAUCAGGAAAAUGUUUUUCCAAACAUAAUGUGUCUUAUCGGUCGAGGCCUUUUGUCAAUCGUUGAGACUCACUCGAAUUUUCGCGCAGUAAAUUUUGUAGAAACAGGAAACGAGUUUAGCUCAUUUAACGCCAACAGUUUUUAAUUCAAGGCUUAAAAUUUGAAACCAGUAAACGCAAAAGUCUUUGAUUUAAUAUUGUAAAAUUUCUCCAAACCAUUAAAUCAGACUAUCGAUUUUGGGUGAAAAUUUUUGAUAACUCAAAACUGACAUCUUACGUUCGAAUAUCCACACAAACAUACUCAUGGUGCCUUAACGAGUAAUAGUUAAUUAUCUUCUAGUGGCAACGAAACUACAUAGAAUAUUCGUAAAAAUUUAUUUAACAAACAAACAAACUGACAAAAAAAAAACAAGCAAACAGCAGCAACGAAAAUUACGAUUCUGCAGGCGAAUCGUCGGUUAGAAGCUAGUCAGAGUGUUAUAAAAUAUAUAUAUAUACGUAAUAGACUGCAGAAGGACACGUGUUGAACGAGUUUACGUUGAGAACAAUAAGAGGAUGUCUAGUCCUAUUAACUUAGCGUCACGUGGCUAAAGAUCGCAAGCUAAUUCUAACUUUAAUAUGAUAGUUUAAGUAAAAGCUUACUUAUUGUAUAGUCCGAACAGUAAAAAAAAAAAAAUUGAAAAAAAAUACCACAAAACAAGCGAAUGGAAGAAAACGAAAAAGAAAAA